AUUCACGGAUCCAGAGUUUGAUCAUGGCUCAGGAUGAACGCUGGCGGCGUGCCUAACACAUGCAAGUCGAGCGAUUCUCUUCGGAGAAGAGCGGCGGACGGGUGAGUAACGCGUGGGUAACCUACCCUGUACACACGGAUAACAUACCGAAAGGUAUGCUAAUACGGGAUGAUAUAUAGAAAUCGCAUGAUUUUUAUAUCAAAGAUUUAUCGGUACAGGAUGGACCCGCGUCUGAUUAGCUUGUUGGCGGGGUAACGGCCCACCAAGGCGAUGAUGCAUAGCCGACCUGAGAGGGUGAACGGCCACAUUGGGACUGAGACACGGCCCAAACUCCUACGGGAGGCAGCAGUAGGGAAUUUUCGUCAAUGGGGGGAACCCUGAACGAGCAAUGCCGCGUGAGCGAAGACGGUCUUCGGAUUGUAAAGCUCUGUUGUAAGAGAAAAACGACAUAUAUAGGGAAUGAUAUAUGAGUGAUGGUAUCUUACCAGAAAGUCACGGCUAACUACGUGCCAGCAGCCGCGGUAAUACGUAGGUGGCGAGCGUUAUCCGGAAUGAUUGGGCGUAAAGGGUGCGUAGGUGGCUCGUUAAGUCUGGAGUCAAAGCCGGCAGCUCAACUGUCGUACGCUUUGGAAACUGGCGAGCUCGAGUGCAGGAGAGGGCGAUGGAACUCCAUGUGUAGCGGUAAAAUGCGUAGAUAUAUGGAAGAACACCAGUAGCGAAGGCGGUCGCCUGGCCUGCAACUGACACUGAAGCACGAAAGCGUGGGGAGCAAAUAGGAUUAGAUACCCUAGUAGUCCACGCCGUAAACGAUGAGAACUAAGUGUUGGGGGAAUAACUCAGUGCUGCAGUUAACGCAAUAAGUUCUCCGCCUGGGGAGUAUGCACGCAAGUGCGAAACUCAAAGGAAUUGACGGGGGCCCGCACAAGCGGUGGAGUAUGUGGUUUAAUUCGAAGCAACGCGAAGAACCUUACCAGGCCUUGACAUCCCCUGCGAAACCCUAGAGAUAGGGCAGAGGUUAUCAGGGAGACAGGUGGUGCAUGGUUGUCGUCAGCUCGUGUCGUGAGAUGUUGGGUUAAGUCCCGCAACGAGCGCAACCCCUGUGAUAUGUUACCAAUAUUGAGUUAGGGACUCAUAUCAGACUGCCGGUGACAAACCGGAGGAAGGUGGGGAUGACGUCAAAUCAUCAUGCCCCUUAUGGCCUGGGCUACACACGUACUACAAUGGCAGCUACAAAGAGCGGCGACGACGCGAGUCGGAGCGAAUCUCAUAAAGGCUGUCUCAGUUCGGAUUGAAGUCUGCAACCCGACUUCAUGAAGUUGGAAUCGCUAGUAAUCGCGAAUCAGCAUGUCGCGGUGAAUACGUUCUCGGGCCUUGUACACACCGCCCGUCAAACCAUGGGAGUUGGUAAUACCCGAAGCCGGUGGCAUAACCGCAAGGGGUGAGCCGUCGAAGGUAGGACCGAUGACUGGGGUUAAGUCGUAACAAGGUAGCCGUAAGCUUCACAAUCGUCGACCUGC
This 1517-nucleotide ribosomal RNA is filed under the name uncultured bacterium. RNAcentral's name for it is "bacterial SSU rRNA". It matches the Rfam family "Bacterial small subunit ribosomal RNA". The record is from RNAcentral.